This 45-nucleotide non-coding RNA is filed under the name Schistosoma haematobium. The record is from RNAcentral. Lineage: Eukaryota; Metazoa; Platyhelminthes; Trematoda; Strigeidida; Schistosomatidae.
AUCCAGUUGACGAAUCCCAUAUAGGACGAAACAUGUGUCCUGGAU